Long non-coding RNA from Tachyglossus aculeatus (Australian echidna), 399 nucleotides. RefSeq lists it as uncharacterized. The record is from RefSeq and is a predicted model, not a curated record. The transcript has 3 exons. NCBI's taxonomy places the organism in Eukaryota, Metazoa, Chordata, Mammalia, Monotremata, Tachyglossidae.
GGAACUCUUGGCCUCUGGGCUCCAUCUUGGAAAAGAGGCUGUGGACAGGUUGGAUGGACAGCAAGGGACAAGGAGAUUCACCAGGUCUGACUGUAUGCAACCAAGCCCUUUUGAAUGCAACUCCCAAUUUGCCAGGGAACGACGACAAAUACAAGAAGCAUCUACUGUACAUGAAAACUCUCUUCCCCAUUAUUCCUUGAUGACGCAUUUGGAAAAGUGGUUCACACAUGCAAGACUUUCUGCAUCUGAACAGAGAGGGGGAAGAGAUGAGGAUUGCUCAUUUCCAGAAGUGAAAAUCACCAAAAGAAACAGAACAUCUUUAGGUCAUUCCCCUUCCCUCUCAUUUUAGCAAACUCUUAAUGAGGAGAGGAACCCCCCCGCCUUUUUAAUGGCAUUUAU